RNAcentral lists this ribosomal RNA (478 nucleotides) under uncultured bacterium. RNAcentral describes it as "partial 16S ribosomal RNA". It matches the Rfam family "Bacterial small subunit ribosomal RNA", at positions 28 to 507 of the family's 1533-position model. The record is from RNAcentral.
GACGAACGCUGGCGGCGUGCUUAACACAUGCAAGUCGAACGUGAUUUUUGUGGAAAUUCUUUCGGGAAUGGACAUGAAAUGAAAGUGGCGAACGGGUGAGUAACACGUGAGCAACCUACCUUACACAGGGGGAUAGCCGUUGGAAACGACGAUUAAUACCGCAUGAAACCACAGAAUCGCAUGAUAUAGGGGUCAAAGAUUUAUCGGUGUAAGAAGGGCUCGCGUCUGAUUAGCUAGUUGGAAGGGUAAAGGCCUACCAAGGCGACGAUCAGUAGCCGGUCUGAGAGGAUGAACGGCCACAUUUGAACUGAGACACGGUCCAAACUCCUACGGGAGGCAGCAGUGGGGAAUAUUGCACAAUGGGGGGAACCCUGAUGCAGCGACGCCGCGUGAGCGAAGAAGGUUCUCGAAUCGUAAAGCUCUGUCCUAUGAGAAGAUAAUGACGGUAUCAUAGGAGGAAGCCCCGGCUAAAUACGUG